GUUGUGCUCACUUCAGCAGCUCAUACAACUGAAACUAUAGAGAGAUGAUUACCAUGGCCUCUACACAAGGAUGACACACAAAUUCGUCAAGCGUUCCAUAUUUUU
Molecule: small nuclear RNA, 105 nt
Organism: Macaca fascicularis (crab-eating macaque)
Lineage: Eukaryota; Metazoa; Chordata; Mammalia; Primates; Cercopithecidae
Source: Ensembl